GAGAGUUGGAGAACCACGUUAGCAGUAUACGACAAGGAAGAUUUCCAGUGUACAGUGUGAGUGUGUGUAAUUUAUAAUCAACAAAAUUAGCAGUGGCCGAGUUAUCUUUGAGUUUUUCAAAAACAAGAAGAGGGAGGGAGGAAGAAGCAAUGGCGGAGUCUCAGUUGGUUCACCCUCCUUUAUUCACCUAUAUCUCAAUGAUCACUCUGCUCACUUUAGUACCCCCUUUUGUUAUUCUCAUGUGGUAUACAAAUGUUCAUGCUGAUGGAUCUGUAUUGCAAACAUAUAAUUAUCUAAAGGAGAAUGGCCUGCAAGGACUAAUUGACAUUUGGCCAAGACCCACUGCAAUUGCGGGAAAAAUAAUAAUUUGCUAUGCUCUAUUUGAGGCUACACUUCAGCUUUUGUUGCCUGGUAAAAGGGUUGAAGGACCGAUAUCUCCAACUGGACACAGGCCUGUCUAUAAGGCAAAUGGCAUGGCAGCAUAUACAGUGACACUAAUUACCUAUCUCAGCCUUUGGUGGUUUGGAAUAUUCAAUCCUACAAUCGUGUAUGAUCAUCUGGGAGAGAUUCUCUCUACACUAAAUUUUGGAAGCUUAAUCUUCUGUCUCUUUUUAUACAUAAAAGGUCAUGUUGCACCAUCUUCCACUGAUCACGGUUCAUCAGGGAACAUAAUAGUUGACUACUAUUGGGGGAUGGAGUUGUAUCCUCGCAUUGGCAAACACUUUGAUAUCAAGGUCUUCACAAACUGCAGAUUUGGCAUGAUAUCUUGGGGACUCCUCCCUAUUACCUACUGUAUAAAGCAGUAUGAAGAAUAUGGAAGUCUCUCUGAUUCCAUGCUUAUACAUACCAUAAUAACGUUGGUGUAUGUCACGAAAUUCUUUUGGUGGGAAGCAGGUUACUGGAACACCAUGGAUAUUGCUCAUGACAGAGCCGGUUUUUACAUAUGCUGGGGUUGCUUGGUAUUUCUUCCAUGUAUGUACACUUCUCCUGGCAUGUACCUUGUCAAACAUCCUGUAAAUCUUGGACCUCAGCUUGCAAUUUCUAUCCUAGUAGCUGGUAUUCUCUGCGUAUACAUAAACUAUGAUUGUGACAGACAGAGGCAAGAGUUCCGCAGAACAAAUGGCAAAGCCCUUGUCUGGGGAAAGGCUCCUUCAAAGAUUGUCGCCUCAUACACUACUACAACUGGCGAAACUAAAACCAGCAUUCUCCUGACAUCUGGAUGGUGGGGCUUAUCGCGGCAUUUCCAUUAUGUUCCAGAAAUACUAGCUUCGUUUUUCUGGAGUGUGCCAGCUCUUCUCAACCAUUUCAUGCCCUACAUCUAUGUAAUCUAUCUGACGGGCCUCCUUUUGGAUCGAGCCAAAAGGGAUGACGAAAGGUGCAAGUCGAAGUAUGGCAAAUACUGGAAAAAGUAUUGUGAAAAGGUGCCUUACCGGGUAGUCCCUGGAAUUUAUUAGUGAUUCUUGAGCUUCAACUGAUGAACUGUCUUUAAUAGUGCUGCUUCUAGUAUUGUAGUAGUAUUUAGACCAUGAAAAAUUUUCUUCUUUCAAUAAAGCACUUUUAGUUGGAACCAACAUCUCAUUUCUAUGGUUGUAAGUUGUAACACGAUGAAAAAAUCAGCUUGAAAUAGAUAUUUCGUGAAAUUAGUUGA
Molecule: RNA transcript, 1648 nt
Organism: Solanum pennellii
Lineage: Eukaryota; Viridiplantae; Streptophyta; Magnoliopsida; Solanales; Solanaceae
Gene name: 7-dehydrocholesterol reductase-like
Exons: 14
Source: RefSeq, a predicted model, not a curated record